GGGAGUAUUUGGGCUUGGGAGAGUUAAGAGGUGGGUCAUGAUUAAAACAAAAGUUGUUGUAGCAAAAUUGCAAUCAUAAUAUUUUUGAGAACAAAAUUUAAGUGGACGUUAUAAUUUGACUGGCCGAAAAAGUGACAUGACAAAGAUGACUUGUAUUGAUAAGUCAAAUAUGACGUCAAAAUCACCAAGGAUUCGUCCUCAAGGACAUGCUAACAUGCCAUUUGGGAGGUCAGCUAACGAAAUCCUUUUUCAUUUAAAUAAAGAGUAACCCAAUUUCAAUUCAGUUUUAUUGAGAUAAGCUUGAAAUAACUUGAGAAUCAAGUUAUCUAUUUCCUACCAAGUUAUGGAUUAGGAAAUAGGAAAAUCCUUGGUAUUUAGGAAUUAUCUAAAUAUCAUAUAUUUAAUGUGUUUAGGACUUUAGAUAUAUAUAUAUGUAGAUACCAAAGUGUGGUAUCACAUAAGAGUUUGAGAUUGAGACUUGAGAGCUUAGUUUUGAGUGAGUUUUUCUAAGGCAAUAAAGAAGAGUUAUUUCUUUGAGAUCAAGUUACGUUCGAUCCUUAAGUUCUACAUUUGGUAUCAG
This 580-nucleotide long non-coding RNA is filed under the name Brassica napus (rape). RNAcentral describes it as "long non-coding RNA (BNAP_LNC018532)". Lineage: Eukaryota; Viridiplantae; Streptophyta; Magnoliopsida; Brassicales; Brassicaceae. The record is from RNAcentral.